RNAcentral lists this small nuclear RNA (133 nucleotides) under Trichobranchus sp. W24401. RNAcentral's name for it is "partial small nuclear RNA U2". It matches the Rfam family "U2 spliceosomal RNA", at positions 25 to 156 of the family's 192-position model. Rfam says of the family: U2 is a small nuclear RNA (snRNA) component of the spliceosome (involved in pre-mRNA splicing). Complementary binding between U2 snRNA (in an area lying towards the 5' end but 3' to hairpin I) and the branchpoint sequence (BPS) of the intron results the bulging out of an unpaired adenosine, on the BPS, which initiates a nucleophilic attack at the intronic 5' splice site, thus starting the first of two transesterification reactions that mediate splicing. Lineage: Eukaryota; Metazoa; Annelida; Polychaeta; Terebellida; Trichobranchidae. The record is from RNAcentral.
GAUCAAAGUGUAGUAUCUGUUCUUAUCAGCUUAAUAUCUGAUACGUACCCCACCGGGGUACAUCGAUAUUAAACUGAUUUUUGGAACUGGGAGAGGACACAGGAGCUUGCUCCGGCCCCUCCACGGGUUGGCC